GACAGAGGGUGCAAACGUUGCUCGGAAUUACUGGGCGUAAAGCGCGCGUAGGCGGCCCGGUAAGUCCGCUGUGAAAGUCAAAGGCUCAACCUUUGAAUGUCAGCGGAUACUGCCGGGCUAGAGUCCGGAAGAGGCGAGUGGAACUCCUGGUGUAGCGGUGGAAUGCGCAGAUAUCAGGAAGAACACCAACGGCGAAGGCAGCUCGCUGGGACGGAACUGACGCUGAGGCGCGAAAGCGUGGGGAGCGAACAGG
Molecule: ribosomal RNA, 253 nt
Filed under: uncultured bacterium
Lineage: Bacteria
Description: partial 16S ribosomal RNA
Rfam family: Bacterial small subunit ribosomal RNA
Source: RNAcentral